AAUAUUUUGCUCCGCCCACGACCUCGGACCACCGUCUCUCUCUCUCUCUCUCUCUCUCUCCGCCGGGAGGGAGGCGUCUGGUGUCAGGUGUUCAAGAAGAGACGAAAACAGACCGAGACCAGCGCAGACGAGAAGACCGAAAGCCUAGGGCCUCUCUGAAGACGACCUUUCCUCUCACUUUAUCUUUUACCCACAGCCCUUACCUAGUCGUCUGCACUUGGUCGUCUGCCGCGCGUUACUUUAUGCUCUACUCUGGCGCGGCGAAGAAGGCCAGUUCCACCUCCUCCUCCCUAAGGUACUCAAAUUACCUCGAAGUAAGAGGCCCCGUCAAAAGUUAGAGAGCUGGUGGUAGCAACCACGACCUUAGUACCGGAACGGUCGUUCGUAGUUCUACGACCCGGAGUAGGGACCGGAAGACUACUAGUAGAAACACCGUGACGAGUGUCUCCGUAGGUAACUGUACGAAUAGUCCACGUCGGUGGUUCCUUUCUAGUGCAGUAUACCCACCGACUACCCACUCCGUAUACCUGUUACCCCCUCCUAACGCGACGUCCGGAGACACCAAUAUUUGUUGUAGCCGCACUACUAACAAAUGUACUAAUAGUAACCACUACAUAAUAGACCUUGCAGCAGUCCGCCAUAAGUAGUAGCACCGUAUAACCUCCCGACCAAACCUCGUGUAAACACCUUAAGAGCGCGGUAACAAGAAGAACACUGUUGAGAAAAGCACAAACGAGGUAACCACUCGAAAUUUGCUAACCUAAGUGACUCGAUGUGUAGACGGGAUAGUCAACGAGAGCGACACCAAAAACAACAAUAAUGACGACCCUAACGGUAUUAGUUUCAGUAGUUACCUUGACAUCGUUACGGGUUCGAAAAGGGUCUUUAUCUACUAGAAUCAAGACAGACCUUCGAAAAAUGCCGACAGGGACAGGAACAGUGACGUAUAUAGACGGUGAUAUUACAAGUGUCGUAACUGUUACUCGAACUCCUAUUUUGUGUUUGAUUUGGUUAACACGCUUGUAGUGACCGGGAAACGAGGUCACAAAUGUAACGGUGUUCAAAGAAACGAAUAGAAGAGAAACCUCUACCAUGUGACCUACUACACGAGCGGUUGAAGCUAAGUUUAGAACCGUAAGGAAAGUCGAGACAGAAGUUACUGCAUCAGUCUCACUCGAUACGACGCGUGCAGUACGAACAGAAGGGGUAGCAGAAGAAACGGGAAUCCGAGUUGAACCUACCCGAUGAGAAAGGGUGCAGCUCCGUGUAAAGAAUACUGUUAUUCUCUAAAUGUUAGUAUUGGUAGAGUGAGGAGCACCAAUAAAUAUGACGACGGUAGAAGUAUGGUUCGUAAACCCUACGUAAGGUCAAAUGACCACGGUGUCGACGGCAAAACUAACCAAAAUAGAAAGGACGGUACCAGUAUAAUUCCCUAGGAAUACCUUAGCGUUGGUUCGCACUGUUCUAUAACCGACAUUGGUACUAGCACGAACGACAACAGAGUUUGAGACAACGGGAUAUGUCACUACGCUACUUGUAGAAGGCAUCCUUUCUCCAUCGGACUUUAAGUCCGAAGUUUCAAGUUUCCUUCCCACAGUGACUACGUCCUUCGCGUCAAAGUAUAAUGUUUUAAGUCACCGAAACUUCCUUCUACCAAACGACCCUACGACACUUCUUUCUACUAAAGAAACCAGUCGUUGAGUCGUAACUCUGGACUGUGUACCUUCUUAACCUACCAACUUUAACAGUCCAGAACACAUGUACUCGACCGAGUUGCAGCUUAACUCGGUGAACGUUAUAUACAUACAAGAAAACAACCGCGCUUAUAUAUACACGGGUGGGGUCUGUCUUUUCUUUCGUAACGACGUUUUUCGAACGAGAUGUUAUUACAUGUCACAAGGAUCAUAAAUUCACUCAAUUUAUACAAAAUAAACUUGGAUUUGAACUCCAAGGCUUAUUUUUAUUUCACCGGUAACAAUGGUAGGAAGUGAAGACUUUGUUCGACAUCUAAGCUAUGUACGAUGUUGUUGCGUUAAAAAACGUACUUGACAACUUGAUACAAGGUGAUCAGAGGUCUACUACCAUGGGCAGAUGUAGGAUCAGCAUGUCUUUUUUUUUACGUGAUUUCUAGUUUACAUCGUAGUAACAGAAACUACAAAAAUCAUACCC
Molecule: ribosomal RNA, 2169 nt
Filed under: Triticum aestivum (bread wheat)
Lineage: Eukaryota; Viridiplantae; Streptophyta; Magnoliopsida; Poales; Poaceae
Description: partial small subunit ribosomal RNA
Source: RNAcentral